Non-coding RNA from Pholiota conissans, 105 nucleotides. NCBI's taxonomy places the organism in Eukaryota, Fungi, Basidiomycota, Agaricomycetes, Agaricales, Strophariaceae. The record is from the annotation of a GenBank genome assembly.
GCUUCCUUGGCUCAGUUGGCUAGAGCGCAGGUCUCAUAUUUCGCAUAUGAGUAACUUAAUAGUUAUGUAAUCCUGAGGUCGCAAGUUCGAGCCUUGCAGGGAGCA